AGAUGGGUCUUGCGUUUGAAAUACUUCAAAUUCAUGAUGAGCAUCUACAUAUCUUCUUCAAGGUUAUAAUCCUUGUCUCCAUUGCCGGCGCCGCCGGAGUCAGAACCCUAGCUAUCACCGGUAGUUUUGACACCGGGCCAAUCCUUGCACUGGCAGUGCUGUCCUUCUGGGAUUCGGUUGUAAACUGAAGGAACUGUCCUUCUUGCACAGGUACUGGCAGUCUUGUCCUUCUUGGCCUUCGAAAAUU
RNAcentral lists this long non-coding RNA (247 nucleotides) under Nicotiana benthamiana. RNAcentral's name for it is "long non-coding RNA (NBEN_LNC009541)". Lineage: Eukaryota; Viridiplantae; Streptophyta; Magnoliopsida; Solanales; Solanaceae. The record is from RNAcentral.